AGAGGGUGCGAGCGUUAAUCGGAAUUACUGGGCGUAAAGGGCGCGUAGGUGGAAAAUUAAGUUGGGUGUGAAAUCCCCGGGCUCAACCUGGGCAAGCCAUCCGAAACUGGUUAUCUAGAGUACAGUAGAGGGAAGUGGAAUUUCCGGUGUAGCGGUGAAAUGCGUAGAUAUCGGAAGGAACAUCAGUGGCGAAGGCGACUUCCUGGACUGAUACUGACACUGAGGCGCGAAAGCGUGGGUAGCAAACAGGAUUAGAUACCCUGGUAGUCCACGCCGUAAACGAUGAGAACUAGCUGUUGGUGAUUUAAAAAUCAUAAGUGGCGCAGCAAACGCGUUAAGUUCUCCGCCUGGGGGAGUACGGCCGCAAGGUUA
RNAcentral lists this ribosomal RNA (372 nucleotides) under uncultured organism. RNAcentral's name for it is "partial 16S ribosomal RNA". It matches the Rfam family "Bacterial small subunit ribosomal RNA", at positions 527 to 896 of the family's 1533-position model. The record is from RNAcentral.